Molecule: transfer RNA, 71 nt
Filed under: Eurycotis sp. B074
Lineage: Eukaryota; Metazoa; Arthropoda; Insecta; Blattodea; Blattidae
Description: tRNA-Val
Source: RNAcentral
CAGAUUAGGUCUUUAUAGUUAAGAGUUUCAUUUACACUGGAGAAUUUGUCGUGCAAUUCGAUAUAAUCUGA